Non-coding RNA from Aegilops tauschii subsp. strangulata, 1130 nucleotides. NCBI's taxonomy places the organism in Eukaryota, Viridiplantae, Streptophyta, Magnoliopsida, Poales, Poaceae. The record is from RefSeq and is a predicted model, not a curated record.
AAAGCCAACAACUCCCUCCAACCCCGAACAGAAAGCUGGAGACACGACGAACAAACACCACCCGCUGACGCGUAGGACCAGGGAGCAGGGUGUCCCACAUGUCAUCCCAAGCGAAGAACCAACGGGUAUAUCCCCACCAGCAAAUCAGCCUCUCCACGCCUCGGUCCUUCCACCCCGUGUGCAGCGGUCCACGCGCAACGACGCACGACCUCCUGCGCACAGUCCAUCCCGUGGGGGCCCGCGCAACGGCAGGCGAUUGCCCGCGCACACACCAUCCCGUGAGGACCUGAGCCUAGCCAGCGAAUCUGACGAGCGGGUCCAGCAGCACCACCGGCCCACCUAUCAGUGAGAGGAGGAUGCGCUAACCGGGUGCGCAUGCGUCGACCAAUCUCGCCAGCCAACCCGUGCGGCCCUGCACGCACGCACGCUGCGGUCAGCGCCGAAACAGCCACGCGACGCGCAACGAGUGGCCACCCGAAAAUUUCAAACCCAGCCAACCAGAAACCUCGCCGAGCACACCGGUCAUCGGGUUCUACACAAGACUGCUAAGUCAAAACGGGCAGUGAAAAUCGAACGGUAGCCACAGCCACGUUGACCAGACCAGAGGCAAUCGAACGAACACAAACGGUGCGAAAUCGAGGAAGCCUUAGGUGAGCGGGUCGGCUAGCCAUCUGAUAUGUUAGAAUUUUCUCUUCUCACACAAAAAUUGGUUUUGCUGGAUAGCUCUCAUCAGCUUGCUCUUGAUCCGCUGUAUUGAGGUUGCUCCUCCUCACCUCAAGCCACCACUGGAGCUGGUGCUGCCACAGGGUGACCAUCGACGGCGGCUGGUUUGGCCCCUCGCCCGCAGCCUCUUGGAUCCAGCUUCAGUAUGAGGGAGCUGGAGACAUUUUCUUCCCCAAGCGCGCAAACCAAACGCAUCGCCGCUAUUUCUGCGCGAGGCAGCUCAACACAUCAUUCACAUCCUCUACUGCGGCAACAUUCUUCAAUUCGAACUGCAGAACGGAGCUGUGGCAUUAAGACAGAAACCCACUAUCGAAUUUGAGGUUGGUCGAAUAUGAAAACCAUCUGAUGCACCAUAUGUGUUUCUCUAUAUCGCAGCAAGCAAUCCCAUUUUUGUCUGUUAUACAUGC